UACGUAGGGUGCAAGCGUUGUCCGGAAUUAUUGGGCGUAAAGAGCUUGUAGGUGGUUUGUCGCGUCUGCUGUGAAAAUCCGAGGCUCAACCUCGGACUUGCAGUGGGUACGGGCAGACUAGAGUGUGGUAGGGGAGACUGGAAUUCCUGGUGUAGCGGUGGAAUGCGCAGAUAUCAGGAGGAACACCGAUGGCGAAGGCAGGUCUCUGGGCCAUUACUGACACUGAGGAGCGAAAGCAUGGGGAGCGAACAGG
This 253-nucleotide ribosomal RNA is filed under the name uncultured bacterium. RNAcentral describes it as "partial 16S ribosomal RNA". It matches the Rfam family "Bacterial small subunit ribosomal RNA", at positions 524 to 776 of the family's 1533-position model. The record is from RNAcentral.